RNAcentral lists this ribosomal RNA (496 nucleotides) under Pseudomonas sp. 01WB04.4-105. RNAcentral's name for it is "bacterial SSU rRNA". It matches the Rfam family "Bacterial small subunit ribosomal RNA", at positions 11 to 501 of the family's 1533-position model. Lineage: Bacteria; Pseudomonadati; Pseudomonadota; Gammaproteobacteria; Pseudomonadales; Pseudomonadaceae. The record is from RNAcentral.
GUUGAUCCAUGGCUCAGAUUGAACGCUGGCGGCAGGCCUAACACAUGCAAGUCGAGCGGUAGAGAGAAGCUUGCUUCUCUUGAGAGCGGCGGACGGGUGAGUAAUGCCUAGGAAUCUGCCUGGUAGUGGGGGAUAACGUUCGGAAACGGACGCUAAUACCGCAUACGUCCUACGGGAGAAAGCAGGGGACCUUCGGGCCUUGCGCUAUCAGAUGAGCCUAGGUCGGAUUAGCUAGUUGGUGGGGUAAUGGCUCACCAAGGCGACGAUCCGUAACUGGUCUGAGAGGAUGAUCAGUCACACUGGAACUGAGACACGGUCCAGACUCCUACGGGAGGCAGCAGUGGGGAAUAUUGGACAAUGGGCGAAAGCCUGAUCCAGCCAUGCCGCGUGUGUGAAGAAGGUCUUCGGAUUGUAAAGCACUUUAAGUUGGGAGGAAGGGCAGUAGAUUAAUACUCUGCAAUUUUGACGUUACCGACAGAAUAAGCACCCGGCUAAC